GUUGCUGUGGUGUAGUGGUUAUCACGUUAGUCUUACACACUAAAAGGUCCCCAGUUGGAUCCUGGGCAGCAACAUAAUUAAUAUUUAAUCAUCUUUUUAAUCCUCCUUCUAUAUAUGAUACAAGUUUUACUUAUAUUUGUUAUCUAUAUACAAUUAUAUCAAGGUUGCUGUGGUGUAGUGGUUAUCACGUUAGUCUUACACACUAAAGGUCUCCAGUUCGAUCCUGGGCAGCAACA
RNAcentral lists this transfer RNA (236 nucleotides) under Malus domestica (apple). RNAcentral describes it as "sRNA MD11G0117600". The stretch from base 164 to 236 matches the Rfam family "tRNA". Lineage: Eukaryota; Viridiplantae; Streptophyta; Magnoliopsida; Rosales; Rosaceae. The record is from RNAcentral.